Molecule: long non-coding RNA, 2288 nt
Organism: Callorhinchus milii (elephant shark)
Lineage: Eukaryota; Metazoa; Chordata; Chondrichthyes; Chimaeriformes; Callorhinchidae
Exons: 3
Source: RefSeq, a predicted model, not a curated record
UGUUGAUUGACAUGAUUGUUUGCAAUACAGUACAGAACGUAUUGUAGUUUGAGACUCUUUGUUUACUGUUAUGUUUUUUCCGCCUGUACCACCCGUGAGACCGUUAAACAGAGGUCCCGAGUGUCUGAUCAUAUGGACAAUGCAGAUCCUGUGGCACCAAUCGACAACAUGAUGGAGAUUAUCCUCGUAUCCUGGCCAACAAUCCCCAAAAUAAAAUUGGUCACUCAUUCUAUGGCUCUCUGUUGGGACACUCUUGAGUUAAUAUGCGAGGUGUCUGGAACGUAUUUGGAGAGAGCGCGCGGUGGAGUGGUUGAAGGCAAAUCCAAUGAUGGCAUUAGUGUGUGGGAGGUUUGGUUGGGUUCUGCUCUUGCUAACCAUCCCUGUCAAGCCCUUUUGACGCCGGAUGAAAAGCGGAUAUUACUAACCGUAAAACCACAAAAAUAUACAACUAGUGUUAACUAGUAAUUGGUACUUAUUACGUUUUGUACUUACAGGUAAACAGAACAGUCGAAUAAUGGAAAGGUGAGGAUAUUUCUCCACUCUUCCAUGCUCACUUCCCAUCCUGCCUGUGCAGGUGCUGCCAUCCCCAAUGGAGAUCGUUACAGUAUUUAAAUUCCUGUUCUCACCCCAGCGUUGCUAUGCUGCUUCUCGAACCCCACUGACCAUUUCCAAUUUAAUCCCAUUCCAUGCUCUCUCCCCAUAUUGUCUGCACUGGUGCUCACUCCCACCCUCAUCGGCAAGACUUGGAGGGCAGACAGAUACCGUGGGCAAGUAUACCUCCCACUCAGCUUCUGUUUCCUUGCAAGAAGUAUCCCUAACGGGUUGAUUGGUUCAAUCACGACUGGCAGACAUAGCUUGCCAGAGAGAGCACCAAAUAGCAAGCUUUGUGAUUUUAAGUAUUGAGACCCCAGCCUUUACCCCAAUGCACACGUUGAGGUCGACAAACAUUUACUCUCGCCAUCCUGACUCUUGGGCUCAUUGCGAUCAGGUUGGCAGAGCUACUGCAUGAACAUCAGAAACACAGCAAUUUCCAAGGGUCGGAGGCAUGACUGGAACUCAACGUCUGGUGUGGAUACCUGUUACCGUGGUGAUAGUUUUCAGCACAAAUCUAUCCGUGCCCCAAACACGCCCCCCGCUACACCCACACACACAAUUUUGUUUUGUCAUCGGGCUCUGUAUAUCACAGAAACCAUUUACCAAAAUUUACUCUCUCCAAGUCAGGGAUCUGCCAUUUUACCAGCUUUUGAAAUCACCGUCUGGCAAACUUUCUGCUGCUUUUUCCAACUGUAGCACCAGAGACAGCGACAGGACAGAAAGCGGCGAUUCGACCCCACAUGACUGUGAUGAUGCUCCUUCAAGAGUAUUUCUGUCAGUGCCAUUUCGCGGUACUUUCCGCCAGAUGAGAGACAAUAUUUGGUGUUUAGCUCCGUUUCAAGCAUAGUUCUGAGCUCUCUAAAUAUCAUCAGUAGAACAGCAGUAAUUAAUCGCCCUCUGCUCUUUUUUUCCUUAGGAAUGUACCCAUGGGAGGCGGCCCACAAAACAGCAGCGUCACAUAUGCAACUGUGAGAAUUGUUCCACGCUCGAUGCCUCCAGCGGACGCUGAAAUCAUCUACGCCAAUUUAGCAAUAGGAAAGAGAAAUGAGGAAGGCCGUGAAGCCGAUGAGGAAGAUGGUGCUGUCUACGCCACAGUCAGAGUUUAGUGCGGUGGCCAAUGGCCAUUAUUUGCUUUCUGUCCUGGCUCUAUCAACCCACCAUCACCUAUAUUCGAUUCCAGCUUUAGUCUGACAUGAACGGGGCUCUCACAUCACGUGUCAUCCUAACCCGGAAGGAGACUGAGUUAGACACUACGGAAGAGGGAGCGAGGGAGAAACGGUUUAUGACUGAGAGACUUCCUGAGAGACUUCAUGAGAGACGGAGAAAGAAUGAUAGACUUCCUGAGAGACUUCGUGAGAGACAAAUUUAAAGAGAGACUGAAUGAGAGUUAGAGAGACUGAAUUUGUGAGACGUAGAGAGAGAUUGAGAGAGGGACUGAGAAUGGGAGAGAAAAUAAGUGAGCCUGAGAGAGAGUUUGUGAUUGAAUGCGAUUGAGUGAUUAAAUGACACUGAGUGAGAGACGGAGUAAGAAAGAGAGAGAGAGAGACUGGCUGCAAGAAAGACGGAGUGAGAGAGAAACUGAUUGAGUAAGAUUGAGUGAAACACUGAGUCAGAAACAGUGAGACAGAGGGAAAUAAUAGAAUGAGAUCCUGUGUGUGAGAGGGUGAGAGAUUGAAUGAGAGAGCGUCAGGGAA